GUCUCCCUGCUAUGUGCGAUAGUUUUUGGUCAAUUUUGAGCUAACACCUAUUAAGAAAGAGCUAAUCCUCCUGAUGUGAAAUGGUAUCCUUAAAAUAAGGAGGCAGGAAGCAUUAGGGUGCGCUCCAUUUUGAAAUAGAGUUCAAAUAGCUAAAGACACACCGGCAUAAGUGGGGAGAUU
Molecule: non-coding RNA, 180 nt
Filed under: bacterium
Lineage: Bacteria
Description: 6S RNA
Rfam family: 6S / SsrS RNA
About the family: E. coli 6S RNA was the first non coding RNA to be sequenced, but its function was unknown until recently. It consists of 184 nucleotides that fold into an extended hairpin structure with a large single-stranded internal bulge. The 6S RNA specifically associates with RNA polymerase holoenzyme containing the sigma70 specificity factor.
Source: RNAcentral